Molecule: long non-coding RNA, 230 nt
Filed under: Elaeis guineensis (African oil palm)
Lineage: Eukaryota; Viridiplantae; Streptophyta; Magnoliopsida; Arecales; Arecaceae
Description: long non-coding RNA (EGUI_LNC040529)
Source: RNAcentral
CGUUCUCAUCAGCCGAGGUUCAGAUAACUUAGAUCUCACUUGUAACAACACCUCCCUCUGAGGAACAUUCAAAGGUGUAUAGCUAUCAUACGUCGUGGAGUUGAUGGUUGCCAAAUCUUUCUCGGAGGACUGCGGGAUCGACAAUUUUCACCUCCAUUAUUCCGCCUCGGGAGCGAAGAUCGAGAGCGCUGGUAUUUUUUCUCCUCUCAUCUUGGAUGGCGUUCCUUGCU